This 531-nucleotide ribosomal RNA is filed under the name uncultured bacterium. Its description in RNAcentral is "bacterial SSU rRNA". It matches the Rfam family "Bacterial small subunit ribosomal RNA", at positions 772 to 1294 of the family's 1533-position model. The record is from RNAcentral.
ACUGAAUAGAUACCCAGGUAGUCCUGGCCCUAAACGAUGUCUACUAGAUCGUGGCGGCACUGACGCCGUCAUGGUCGAAGCAAAAGUGUUAAGUAGACCGCCUGGGAAGUACGGUCGCAAGGCUAAAACUCAAAGAAAUUGACGGGGGCUCACACAAGCGGUGGAGCAUGUGGUUCAAUUCGAAGCAACGCGAAGAACCUUACCUGGGCUUGACAUGCUAGGAUUAUCUUGAUGAAAGUCGAGUAGGCCCCGCAAGGGGUACAACUAGUACAGGUGCUGCAUGGCUGUCGUCAGCUCGUGUCGUGAGAUGUCGGGUUAAGUCCCUUAACGAGCGAAACCUUUGCCCUUAGUUGCCAUCGGGUUAUGCCGGGCACUCUAAGGGGACUGCCGGUGUCAAACCGGAGGAAGGUGGAGAUGACGUCAAGUCCUCAUGGCCUUUAUGCCCAGGGCUACACACGUGCUACAAUGGCGUCCACAAAGCGAGCCGAGAGCGCAAGCUGGAGGAAAUACGCAGAAAUGACGCCCCAGUUC